Molecule: ribosomal RNA, 200 nt
Filed under: uncultured bacterium
Lineage: Bacteria
Description: partial 16S ribosomal RNA
Rfam family: Bacterial small subunit ribosomal RNA
Source: RNAcentral
AGCGAACGCUGGCGGCAGGCCUAACACAUGCAAGUCGAACGGACCUUUCGGGGUUAGUGGCGGACGGGUGAGUAACACGUGGGAACGUGCCUUUUGGUUCGGAAUAGCUCCUGGAAACGGGUGGUAAUGCCGAAUGGUGCCCUUUGGGGGAAAGAUUUAUCGCCAUUAGAGCGGCCCGCGGUCUGAUUAGCUAGUUGGUG